Molecule: non-coding RNA, 241 nt
Organism: Pelobates cultripes (western spadefoot toad)
Lineage: Eukaryota; Metazoa; Chordata; Amphibia; Anura; Pelobatidae
Source: the annotation of a GenBank genome assembly
GCAGCUAAUGACGGGAAUUUAUGGGAAAUAAGAAAUAAAUCUAUAUGUGAGUACAUUCCGUGGGGAGCAAAUGAAAGUUAAAAUCAACUGUGUCCGAGUGCUGGGCCCUCCACAUAUCAAUGAGUCCCUGAGCCGCUAGAAAUUUUCUGAGUAAUCUGUCCAGAACCCCCACUCCUUGAGAACGAAACAUUCCGUGGGAUGAACUACAGUCGGCUGCAGAAUGUGGGACCGUGUUACAACC